This 274-nucleotide ribosomal RNA is filed under the name uncultured bacterium. Its description in RNAcentral is "partial 16S ribosomal RNA". It matches the Rfam family "Bacterial small subunit ribosomal RNA", at positions 524 to 796 of the family's 1533-position model. The record is from RNAcentral.
UACGGAGGGUGCGAGCGUUAAUCGGAAUUACUGGGCGUAAAGCGCAUGCAGGUGGUUCAUUAAGUCAGAUGUGAAAGCCCGGGGCUCAACCUCGGAACUGCAUUUGAAACUGGUGAACUAGAGUACUGUAGAGGGGGGUAGAAUUUCAGGUGGUAGCGGUGAAAUGCGUAGAGAUCUGAAGGAAUACCAGUGGCGAAGGCGGCCCCUGGACAGCAUACUGACACUCAGAUGCGAAAGCGUGGGGAGCAAACAGGAUUAGAUACCCCUGUAGUCC